RNAcentral lists this ribosomal RNA (504 nucleotides) under Argynnis hyperbius (Indian fritillary). RNAcentral describes it as "partial 16S ribosomal RNA". The stretch from base 376 to 504 matches the Rfam family "Bacterial large subunit ribosomal RNA", at positions 2473 to 2602 of the family's 2925-position model. The record is from RNAcentral. Lineage: Eukaryota; Metazoa; Arthropoda; Insecta; Lepidoptera; Nymphalidae.
AAUUUAAAGUCUAAUCUGCCCACUGAUUAUAAAAAAUUAAAGGGCUGCAGUAUAUUGACUGUACAAAGGUAGCAUAAUCAUUAGUCUUUUAAUUGAAGACUUGUAUGAAAGAUUUGAUGAAAUAUAAACUGUCUCUAAUUUAAUAAUAAAAAUUAAUUUUUUAGUUAAAAAGCUAAAAUUUAUUUAAAAGACGAGAAGACCCUAUAGAGUUUUAUAAUAAUAGUAAUUAAAAUUAAAUAUAUAAUUAUAAAUUAAAAUUUUUAUUAUUAUUUUGUUGGGGUGACAGAAAAAUUAAUAAAACUUUUUUUAUAAUAUUACAUAAAUAAGUGAAUUAAUGAUCCAUUUAUAAUGAUUAAAAGAAAAAAUUACCUUAGGGAUAACAGCGUAAUUUUUUUUUUUAGUACAAAUAAAAAAAAAAGGUUGCGACCUCGAUGUUGGAUUAAGAUAAAAAUUAAAUGCAAAAGUUUAAAAUUUUGAUCUGUUCGAUCAUUAAAAUCUUACAUG